UACGUAGGGGGCAAGCGUUAUCCGGAAUUACUGGGUGUAGAGGGAGCGUAGACGGUAAUGUAAGCCUGGAGUGAAAGGCGGGGGCCCAACCCCCGGACUGCUCUGGAAACUAUGUUACUAGAGUGCAGGAGAGGUAAGCGGAAUUCCUAGUGUAGCGGUGAAAUGCGUAGAUAUUAGGAGGAACACCAGUGGCGAAGGCGGCUUACUGGACUGUAACUGACGUUGAGGCUCGAAAGCGUGGGGAGCAAACAGG
Molecule: ribosomal RNA, 253 nt
Filed under: uncultured bacterium
Lineage: Bacteria
Description: partial 16S ribosomal RNA
Rfam family: Bacterial small subunit ribosomal RNA
Source: RNAcentral